This 651-nucleotide long non-coding RNA is filed under the name Bos taurus (domestic cattle). Its description in RNAcentral is "long non-coding RNA NONBTAT011043". The record is from RNAcentral. Lineage: Eukaryota; Metazoa; Chordata; Mammalia; Artiodactyla; Bovidae.
AGCUAACUGCAUUUGGAUUCUGUCCAUGAACUUGGCACAUGACGUGUAUGGCAGACUUCCUAAACCUAGUCAUGGUAGCUCAAAACUCUUCCCAGGGAUGAGCCCUUAGGAGUUGUCAUCAGGAGCUGAACAGCAGACGGCCAGGCUGACUGCCGUCCUCUGCUCUCUCACUAGCGCCCUCCCUCCUACACUGAGCCCCAGGGAAGGAUUCCACAUGGACAUUAUUUGCAUUUAAUAGCUCAUUACUGUGUCCAUGCUCUGCUUCACCAUCAGAGAGCUUGCCAAGGCUCCAGCACUGUAGCUGUGCAUGUUUCUAGACUACUUACUAUAGGGAUUGGUCCUCUCUUGAAGCUAUUUAUUUGUAGUUAAUAGCUACAAAAAUUUGAAGUCUCUUGAGAAAUCCAUACACAGACACAGUUUCCAUGUGGGGGGCCAGGCUGGGGAGGGGCGGAAACUACCCAUGAUCCAGGCUCCUGUUUUGGGGUAAGGAAGAUGCAGUUUUGUGAUCAAGACUCUUAUGAUAGAUUUAUAAAGGGUGCAGGUGUUCAUCACUAGAGCUUUAUGUGUAGAGUUGGAGCCAGAUUAUGGAUCCCCUCCACUGGGCGUUUGUUUUGAAUCAGAAGCUGCCCAAGUAAGCAAUUUCUAAUGUAA